GAGAGAGGAGGGGGGGAGGGCGGAGCUCUAGAGCAAUUAGGGCGAGGGAAAGCUCUCUAGGGAUCGUCAAGCUAUUUUUAGGACAGCUAUGGGUGGACGAAACGUAGAAGUGGCAACGCUCAGACGGGCUCCACCUCAGGUCGGACCACAGCCUCCCAGACCACAAAGGCUUUGGGAGACUCUAGCGUUACAGAAUACACAUUUGAAGUAUGCACAACAAACAGCACACCAUUACUUGAUCCUUUUGUCUUUAUUUGUGGUGAGCGUGACGUACGGUGUGUACGCCGCUAAAUAACAGAGCAAACCAUGACAAUACAGCAAAAUGUCAGUUUGUUUGAGUGUGGCCUUAAUUGUGGCUUCCUUUUGGUGGUGUGGCGCGCCACUCGCCGCUCAGACUUGAGCAGAGGCCCAGAGUGUGUGACAUGAGGCACAGCAGAACUCGUGGCGCUCCGCCUCACAAUUAGCUAGUGUUCUCGUGGGCCCAUCCUUGUGCCGGCCUGCUGAGGGAGGGAGAAGGGAGAGAGGUGACCAGAGGAGGCUUGGAAGGAGCGAGAGCGGCGAGACAAAGGAUAUCAGUACUGUAGAUGGACAGCCUUCUAUCUCUGUGGCAGAAGAAGGUGUCCUCGUAGAUGACUUUGGGGAUAUCAUUCUUCACACAGAUGGUAGCGCAGCUGCUGUCAGUGACACUGCUAGUAACAAUGAUGGAGGAUUUGAGACUCCAUCGCCUGCGCUGACAAGCUUGGCAUCAAGCAUUUCAGUGCAAGAAUUCCAAGAUGACAAGUUAUCACCAUGUAUGAAGAGAAACAGAAGAGCAAAGGCUUAUGGUAAAGCCCUUGAAUUUGCAAUGAGGAUGACGACCCAGCUGCCACCACCACCACCACCACCCCGUACAUUCUCCAAUAAUAUUUGCUACGUUAUCGAUGACCUUAUUAGUGGCCUCCCUUCUUUUAUACAACAUGAUGUUGGAAUGGAGGUCAUAAAUAGUGUAAUUGAGGUCAUCAGAAAAGCCAAAAUAGCUGAUAAUUUGUAUGAUGUCUCCAAUUAAUUAGAUUUAACCCGAAAACUGCUGUACGCCUUCUGGGUGGCUUGGCGGCAAACUGCUGUAUGCCUUCUGGAAGUGCUCUUUUUAAACAGGCACCAUAAAGUUCCUGUGAUUUGUAUUUCUUUGAAAUGAUUUUUUUGUGUUCUAAUAACCUUUCUUUUAGUAAUUUAUAUCCUUCUAAUAAGAAUUUGGUUAUUUGUAUCAUAUUUAUAAAGGAAAACAAUGAAAUCACUAUGUUUUUAUUUUAUUUAGUCGACAUUGCAUUCCUUUCAUAGAUAUUAGAGUUUGAGUCUCAUGUAUGGUAAGAGGAAGCUAUAGUUUAGUAGUAUAGAAGUUGUUUUUGUAUAAUAGAAAAGUGAUAAAGCGAAUAAGAUUAUGGAAACAAGACCAUCUUCAUUAGACGUUUGUAACACUGUCAGACGUGUCGGCCCGGCCCGCACCGCGCGUCAUGAGUCAUGACUCAUCCUCUCUCUCUCUCUCUCUCUCUCUCUCUCUCUCUCUCUCUCUCUCUCUCUCUCUCUCUCUCUCUCUCUCUCUCUCUCUCUCUCUCACACACACACACACACACACACACACACACACACACACACACACACACACACACACACACAGAUAUAUAGUAUGAUAUGUAUGUUAUUGUGGCUUACACGGAACUAAUAUUUCGUUACUUUAUUUAUUGUGAACCAAGCAAAGGGGUAUUUUUGUUUCACUUAUUUAUUUUGAACAAAGUGUGUGAGAGAGAGAAAAAAAAAUUGUAAAAUAAUAGGAGGCUAGAGCAAUAUUUCGCAUUACCAUUACCAGUGCAUAUGCCUUUUUAUUUGACCAGUUUAUCCAUUCCAUAUGUAUGUUAUUUACUCCAUAUACUUUGAUACCAUUUACUUUAUUUGCGAUUCAAAAUAUUAGUGUCAGAAUAAUGGAAAGAAUAUUACUUAUACGGAAAUUGCCAUUAUAGAAAUAAAAUACUUUUGUUUUAUCAUUUAUUUCUCUUGAAGCAAGCAAGAAAGAGAGAGAGAGAGAGAGAGAGACAACAUUCGAGCAUUAACAACACUGUCCCGUCGACGAACAGUGGCAACAAGCAGUCUGUGUGUAUCCCCCCUGCCGCCUCCCCCUAGCUCCCCCCACCCAUCCCGCUCUCCACAAUGCCUCCAGAUACUGCCAGAAAUCCAUUUUUGUGGCGAAAAAUACUUAGAAAUAUGGUAGCUACAGUAAAUUUUGUUACAGAAUUGUUAAAUGAAGUAACUGUGACACAUCUUUUUAAAGUAUAUAUCUUUCAUUGAAAGUCAAUCUUUCGCUGAUUUAGCCGCACCAGGAGACACCCUCUGAAUGUGAAUGCCGCAGUUUACGGGUUAAUAAAAAGUGUUUCUAAAAUUAAAUCUUUUAUUUCUGUAACUUGUGUUCACAUAUACAUACAUACAACACGCACAUACACACAUACACAACAAACACACAGCCUAAUGUAGGAAGCACAUCCUAUCUUCCCAGGGUACACUAGCUUCAUUAUUAAAAUAGUCUCUAAAUG
Long non-coding RNA from Portunus trituberculatus (swimming crab), 2561 nucleotides. RefSeq lists it as uncharacterized. The record is from RefSeq and is a predicted model, not a curated record. The transcript has 2 exons. NCBI's taxonomy places the organism in Eukaryota, Metazoa, Arthropoda, Malacostraca, Decapoda, Portunidae.